GCCGAAAUAGCUCAGUUGGAAGAGCGUCAGACUGAAGAUCUGAAGGUCCCUCGUUCAAUCCGGAGAGUUUGUA
Nematostella vectensis (starlet sea anemone) is the source of this 73-nucleotide non-coding RNA. The record is from Rfam. NCBI's taxonomy places the organism in Eukaryota, Metazoa, Cnidaria, Anthozoa, Actiniaria, Edwardsiidae.